CUGCUUUUUACAAGAAUCUUUUUCAAAUUUUUUGCCCCUCUAUAGAUGAUAUGGGGUUGUGCGGGGAGAAUUUUUCCUAAAACUGGGUAACACAUGCCAAUAUUUCUUUAUAACUUUUCUGAUGUUUUUAUGAUUCCCAUUAUAAUUACAAAUAAGUGGUACUCUGUUGUCGGUUUGAGGGAGAGUCUUUUUAGGUUUAUAGGUGAGUAGUUUUUUUCAUGAUAGAAUCCUUGUAUUUUCCAUUGUUUCAGCUAAAUUUUUCGCCUGGUACCCUUUCUCUAAAAAGUGUUGUUUUAUUCGUGUGGCUUGUUGGAUGUAGUCAUCAUCUUUAGUGCAAUUAUGUCUAAUUCGCAUAAAUUGGCCUUUUGGGGCAUUAUGUAACCAUGGUUUAUGAUGACAACUGUUACUCUCGAUGUAUCCGUUUGCAUCGACUGUUUUGAAA
Molecule: non-coding RNA, 442 nt
Organism: Pelobates cultripes (western spadefoot toad)
Lineage: Eukaryota; Metazoa; Chordata; Amphibia; Anura; Pelobatidae
Source: the annotation of a GenBank genome assembly